This is a long non-coding RNA of Manis pentadactyla (Chinese pangolin), 361 nucleotides long. RefSeq lists it as uncharacterized. The record is from RefSeq and is a predicted model, not a curated record. The transcript has 3 exons. Lineage: Eukaryota; Metazoa; Chordata; Mammalia; Pholidota; Manidae.
GGCCGGGCAGAGAGCCGGUGUGGAGAAGCCCGAUGAAGCUGAGACAGGGGAAGCCAAAGAGAAGGGAAGGUGCCCGUUCUCAUUCAAGUCCUCAGGAUUUCUGCCUUAACUUCUGGAAGAGUCUCUGACCUAAUUGCCCUGCCUCGUCUGCACAGAAGCCUGAAUGACCUUGCAAAUGUCUUGGGAUGCUUGUGCAACAUCUGGAAUUGCAGCAGCUAUGUUAACACCAUGAAGCACGUAAACAAAAACCAUUAACACUGAGGAUGGCAAAGAAGGAUGGAAAACCAUGGAAGGAUAACUAGAUAACCAAAUGACUACAAAAUCUGAGACCACUUAACUCAAGAUUUCUUCUUAAGUAAAU